Molecule: RNA transcript, 2710 nt
Organism: Syzygium oleosum
Lineage: Eukaryota; Viridiplantae; Streptophyta; Magnoliopsida; Myrtales; Myrtaceae
Gene name: inositol 3-kinase
Exons: 3
Source: RefSeq, a predicted model, not a curated record
UCCCUUUGCUCUGCAAAUCUCCCCUGUGGCGCGAGGUGGAGCUUCCGUGCAACAUCAUUCCUUGUUGUCUACGCUUUGUAUUCAAAUAUUUUCCGCUGCUCCCCUCUUUUGUCCUCCUCCUCUGCUCUGCAAUUCUUCACCUCUCCCCUCCCCCACACCCAUGAUCGUCGCUAGAUCCCAGCAGUCCGACGCUCCUCCGGUCGUUCUCCCCUCUUGCCCGUCAACCUCCCCAUGGCGAGGGGCUCGCCCAAGCAAUCCCAACCCCCCGCCCCCACCCGCGGCCUCGUCGCCGGGAACUACUGCCACGACGUCCUCUUCCGGGACGGCGCCGCCGUGGCCGAGUCCCUCGGCGGCGCCGUCUCCUUCAUCUCCGCCGUGCUCGACGGCCUCUCGGUCCCCUUCGACUCGGUGUCGAAGGUGGGUCCGGAUUUCAAGUACUCGACGGCGGCUCGCUGCUCGAUCGUGGCGCCCGAUUGCGUGACCACCCUCUUCCAUGCAUACUUCGAUUCGGGCUCGGGCGAGAGCGGGCAUGUGGACCGCGUCCUGAAACGGGUCGGCUCUUGCGACCCGAUCGCACCUUCGGAUCUCCCCGGAGGAAAAUUUAAUUUUGGGAUGGCGGUUGGGGUCGGGGGCGAGAUAUUGGUGGAGACGCUCGAGAAAAUGAUCGAGAUGUGUGACGUGGUGUUUGUAGAUAUUCAGGCCCUGAUUCGGGUCUUCGAUGGUGUCGAUGGAACAGUGAGGCUUGUGGAGUUGAAGGAGAGUGGGUUUUAUCAUCUCCUGCCUCGAAUUGGGUUCAUCAAGGCAUCAUCCGAAGAAGCGGCUUAUAUGGACGUGGAGGAGGUGAGGAACUGGUGCUGUGUUGUGGUCACAAAUGGGAAGGAUGGGUGUACUUUGUACUGGAAAGAUGGAGAGAUGAAGAUCGAACCCUUUGUCGCUAGUCAGGUUGAUCCAACAGGUGCUGGCGAUAGCUUUUUGGGUGGGUUGGUUGCUGGGCUUGUGCAGGGAUUGACUGUUCCUGAUGCAGCUCUUUUGGGGAAUUUGUUUGGUUCACUGACAGUUGGGCAAGUUGGGCUUCCCAAAUUUGAGUUGAGACUCUUGCAGCAGUAGAGUUCUUGGAACAUACUAAAAAAGGGGGUGGAUAGUAUUCCAUGUAUUAGUUAUGGUGCUUGCAGGACGAAGCAAUGUCAUCCAGUUCCCAACUAUGUGUGUGGCAGAAAGAAACCACCUUGUACCUUGAUAUUUUGUUUUCAUUAAAUGCCAAUGACGUGUGGGGGAUACAUCGGAUACUUUCUCGAAAAUGAUAGAUCCUUUAUAAAUAGGAAAAUGACACAAAUGGUCCUUCAACUUUGGUCCAAAUUGUAAUGUGGUCCCUAAACUUUUUAUUUUUUUUGUUUUAACGUAGUUCCUGAACUUUGAUCCACUAUGCAAUGUUAUUAUUGAUAUUUUAACUUGUUCAAUGUGGUCCCUGCACUUUGGUCCAAUGUUCAAUGUGGUUCCUAAACUUUUAAACAUUUUCAUAAAGUCUAAAGACUACGUUGAACAUUUACCAAUAUAUUAGGGACCAUAUUAAAUGAACUAAAAGUCUAGGGACGAUAUAGCACAUUGAGCGGAAGUUCAGGGAUCAUAUUGCAUAAAUCAAAAGUUUAGGGACCACGUUACAUAUUGGACCAAAGUUCAGAGACUAUCCGUGUUAUUAUCCCUUUUUAAUUCUAGCAAUCUUGCUGGGAAAGAUUGCUCUGUUGCCAUGAUAAUUAGACAGACAACCUUGCAUAAUUGUUGCAGCAACAUUUGUCCUUUGACAAUUUUAGGACUCCAUACAGUUGUUUGAUAAUUGUUUCAUCCUAAGAUCAAGCAAAUGGACAUGAUAUGCUGUCUUGUCAGCGGUAGGUAAGCUUCUAUACGUUGAUGUCUGUCAUACGAUUAAUUAAAUGUCAAAGAGAGGACUCCCCUGAAUUCUGCAACUUUGUUAGCUGAACCUGGUAAUGUUAGCUGAACUUGGUAAGGGAGGCGCAUCUUUCCCUGAUGAAUUUGUGAACAUUCAUUCGACUGAGAGUUUCAUUCUAGUUAGUUUUUUUGGUCAGCAAUGAUAUGGUUGAAUUGAAAAGGGAAUUUGACAAGGCUUAAGGCUUAAGGCUGGUAAAUAUCCCAUCAAAGCGUCACAUGGCAUUGUUCUUUGCCUGGUUCGUGGGGGAUAGUUUAUUGGUUUAGGUUUGUUCGCUUCAGUUAGGGUUCCACUUAAUCGAAAAACACUUCAUUGUCAUUGGACGGCAUUCUAGUUGCUUUGGUUGAUCAAGCCAUGACUUGGAUAAAUGUCAAUUAGAUAUCCCUUAGGCUAGCAAGCUCUAAUUCUGUUGUUGUCGCAUACAAUUACCUGGUUACAAUGUAAGAGCAUUUACUAGAAUGGGAGGUUACAUAGUCAGGAAUUUCUCGUAUGCUGUGUCGAUGGUGGAACUUUGUGGGACGAUGCAUGCUUUGGCAUCCACCUACCCUAGAGUAAUUAAGCAUCAUCUAGGCUUUCCUUAAGAGAAGUUUCGGACACUGUUGUUUUCAUAUUUUACCAAUUUUGUUCUCGGUAUUUGCAUUUUCUCACCUUCUGCAAUCACAAUGCUCACCCCAUGACCUCGUUGACCUGGCCAUGCUCUGUUUCCAUGAGUUGACGAAACUUUAUUUCUGUAAAUAUUUUAAUAGGGUGUCAAGGAUGAAGUAGAAA